RNAcentral lists this long non-coding RNA (233 nucleotides) under Elaeis guineensis (African oil palm). RNAcentral describes it as "long non-coding RNA (EGUI_LNC050500)". Lineage: Eukaryota; Viridiplantae; Streptophyta; Magnoliopsida; Arecales; Arecaceae. The record is from RNAcentral.
AAGUUAAAUUUUUUUCUCUAAGAAAAUUCAGUCUGCUGAAUCUGAACGAAGCCUGGAUCGCGAUCAACACUUGAUCUCUUUCCUUAAUCUUCUUCUUCUCUUCUUUUCUUACUUUUUUUUUAUAUUAUGCUACUACCAGCAGGUGGAAACUAGCACAAGGUGGACACCCAAGUGCCCUUGGCAUGGAGGAGAAGUGGGAUGCCCCAAGUGGUGGGAUGUGUGGACAUCCAAGG